GCCUCAGUGGUGUAGUGGUAGCACGCGUCCCUAGUAUGGAUGAAACACGACGGGUUCAACUUCCGCCUGAGAUC
This is a non-coding RNA of Parelaphostrongylus tenuis, 74 nucleotides long. The record is from the annotation of a GenBank genome assembly. Lineage: Eukaryota; Metazoa; Nematoda; Chromadorea; Rhabditida; Metastrongylidae.